GUGCUUGCUUCAGCAGCAUAUAUACUAAGACUGGAACAAUACAGAGAUUAGCUUGGCUCCUGCCCAAGGAUGAUAUGUGAAUUCAUGAAGUGUUCCAUGAUUUU
Molecule: small nuclear RNA, 104 nt
Organism: Capra hircus (goat)
Lineage: Eukaryota; Metazoa; Chordata; Mammalia; Artiodactyla; Bovidae
Source: Ensembl